This 261-nucleotide ribosomal RNA is filed under the name uncultured archaeon. RNAcentral describes it as "partial 16S ribosomal RNA". It matches the Rfam family "Archaeal small subunit ribosomal RNA", at positions 748 to 1008 of the family's 1478-position model. The record is from RNAcentral.
AGGGUGUGAACGCUGCAGACUUGGUGUUGGAAAUCCUUCGAGGGUAUUCAGUGCCGGAGAGAAGUUGUUAAGUCUGCUACUUGGGGAGUACGUCCGCAAGGAUGAAACUUAAAGGAAUUGGCGGGGGAGCACCGCAACGGGAGGAGCGUGCGGUUUAAUUGGAUUCAACACCGGGAAACUCACCAGGGGAGACUGUUACAUGAAACCCAGACUAAUGAUCUUGGUUGAUUUUCAGAGAGGAGGUGCAUGGCGUCAGUGACU